UAAGGAAUAUUGGUCAAUGGACGCAAGUCUGAACCAGCCAUGCCGCGUGGAGGAUGAAGGUCCUCUGGAUUGUAAACUUCUUUUAUCUGGGAAGAAAUGCAUUUUUUCUAAAGUGUUUGACGGUACCAGAUGAAUAAGCACCGGCUAACUCCGUGCCAGCAGCCGCGGUAAUACGGAGGGUGCAAGCGUUAUCCGGAUUCACUGGGUUUAAAGGGUGCGUAGGUGGGCAGUUAAGUCAGUGGUGAAAUCUCCGGGCUCAACCCGGAAACUGCCAUUGAUACUAUCUGUCUUGAAUAUCGUGGAGGUAAGCGGAAUAUGUCAUGUAGCGGUGAAAUGCUUAGAUAUGACAUAGAACACCAAUUGCGAAGGCAGCUUACUACCCGAAUAUUGACACUGAGGCACGAAAGCGUGGGGAUCAAACAG
This 423-nucleotide ribosomal RNA is filed under the name uncultured bacterium. Its description in RNAcentral is "bacterial SSU rRNA". It matches the Rfam family "Bacterial small subunit ribosomal RNA", at positions 355 to 775 of the family's 1533-position model. The record is from RNAcentral.